UACGUAGGGUGCGAGCGUUGGCCGGAAUUAUUGGGCGUAAAGGGCUCGUAGGCGGUUUGUCGCGUCGGGAGUGAAAACUCAGGGCUUAACCCUGAGCCUGCUUCCGAUACGGGCAGACUAGAGGUAUGCAGGGGAGAACGGAAUUCCUGGUGUAGCGGUGAAAUGCGCAGAUAUCAGGAGGAACACCGGUGGCGAAGGCGGUUCUCUGGCCCUCUUCUGACGCUGAGGCACGAAAGCGUGGGGAUCAAACAGG
RNAcentral lists this ribosomal RNA (253 nucleotides) under uncultured bacterium. RNAcentral describes it as "partial 16S ribosomal RNA". It matches the Rfam family "Bacterial small subunit ribosomal RNA", at positions 524 to 776 of the family's 1533-position model. The record is from RNAcentral.